GAUGAAGAACGUAGCGAAAUGCGAUACGUAGUGUGAAUUGCAGAAUUCAGUGAAUCAUCGAAUCUUUGAACGCACAUUGCACCUCUCGGUAUUCCGGGAGGUAUGCCUGUUCGAGCGUCAUUUGUACCCUCAAGCUCUGCUUGGUGUUGGGUGUUUGUUCCGCCUCUGUGUGUGAACUCGCCUCAAAACAAUUGGCAGCCGGCGUACUUGUUUCGGAGCGCAGCACAUUUUGCGACCCAGAUCAACGUACAGCGGCAUCCAAGAAGCCUUAUUUAACGCUCUUGACCUCGGAUCAGGUAGGGAUACCCGCUGAACUUAAGCAUAUCAAUAAGCGGAGGA
RNAcentral lists this unclassified non-coding RNA (339 nucleotides) under soil metagenome. RNAcentral's name for it is "partial contains 5.8S ribosomal RNA, internal transcribed spacer 2, and large subunit ribosomal RNA". The stretch from base 1 to 120 matches the Rfam family "5.8S ribosomal RNA", at positions 35 to 154 of the family's 154-position model. The record is from RNAcentral.